RNAcentral lists this small nuclear RNA (144 nucleotides) under Stegodyphus mimosarum. RNAcentral describes it as "U2 spliceosomal RNA". It matches the Rfam family "U2 spliceosomal RNA". From Rfam's summary of the family: U2 is a small nuclear RNA (snRNA) component of the spliceosome (involved in pre-mRNA splicing). The record is from Rfam by way of RNAcentral. Lineage: Eukaryota; Metazoa; Arthropoda; Arachnida; Araneae; Eresidae.
AUCGCUUCUCGGCCUUUUGGCUAAGAUCAAAGUGUAGUAUCAAACUAUUGUGAGUGUAUGCAACGACAAUCACAAGAGUUAGUAAUUGCCAUUGCAUACACUCACAAUAAUUUAACCUUUGCCUUUUUUAAAAUUGUAACUGUU